Molecule: ribosomal RNA, 254 nt
Filed under: uncultured bacterium
Lineage: Bacteria
Description: partial 16S ribosomal RNA
Rfam family: Bacterial small subunit ribosomal RNA
Source: RNAcentral
UACGUAGGGACCGAGCGUUGUCCGGAAUCAUUGGGCGUAAAGAGCGUGUAGGCGGCCACUUAAGUCCUGCGUGAAAUCUUGCGGCUCAACCGCAAGCGGUCGUGGGAAACUGGGUGGCUAGAGUGCGGGAGAGGAGAGUGGAAUUCCUGGUGGUAGCGGUGGAAUGCGCAGAUAUCAGGAAGAACACCCGUGGCGAAGGCGGCUCUCUGGAACGCAACUGACGCUGAGACGCGAAAGCGUGGGGAGCAAACAGG